UGUCUGCAGCAUACUUCACCAUCAAGGCGUUCUUGCUUCUCACGUCCAAUUCAUUGCUUAGUUUUUGACUGUGGUGAACCCAAAAGAAAUAGGAAUCAUGAAGUUUGUUUUUCAUGGCACUCUAUUAUUAUUCGCCAUAGUGUGCUUCAUCACCUUGGAAGAUACUUUUGCACUGGAGAGACGUAAUGCAAGAGAUUUACGACGAGAAAGGCUUGGUGGACCCGUACAUGGAAAACUGAAGGGUCCCUUGCUACUAUCACCGGAACAAGCGCAAAUUUUGGAAAGUAAGUACCUUUGUCUGAUACCAUCCUGCGAGC
This is a long non-coding RNA of Rhipicephalus microplus (southern cattle tick), 317 nucleotides long. RefSeq lists it as uncharacterized. The record is from RefSeq and is a predicted model, not a curated record. NCBI's taxonomy places the organism in Eukaryota, Metazoa, Arthropoda, Arachnida, Ixodida, Ixodidae.